AGCAGUAGCCGCGGUAAUACGAGGGGAGCUAGCGUUGUUCGGAAUUACUGGGCGUAAAGCGCGCGUAGGCGGCUUUUUAAGUCAGAGGUGAAAGCCCGGGGCUCAACCCCGGAAUUGCCUUUGAAACUGGAAAGCUAGAAUCUUGGAGAGGUCAGUGGAAUUCCGAGUGUAGAGGUGAAAUUCGUAGAUAUUCGGAAGAACACCAGUGGCGAAGGCGACUGACUGGACAAGUAUUGACGCUGAGGUGCGAAAGCGUGGUGAGCAAACAGGAUUAGAGACCCCUGUAGUCCCUGUCUCUUAUAC
RNAcentral lists this ribosomal RNA (303 nucleotides) under uncultured bacterium. Its description in RNAcentral is "partial 16S ribosomal RNA". It matches the Rfam family "Bacterial small subunit ribosomal RNA", at positions 507 to 807 of the family's 1533-position model. The record is from RNAcentral.